Salmo salar (Atlantic salmon) is the source of this 2232-nucleotide RNA transcript. It is a transcript of the gene named succinyl-CoA:3-ketoacid coenzyme A transferase 1, mitochondrial, with no coding region annotated. Lineage: Eukaryota; Metazoa; Chordata; Actinopteri; Salmoniformes; Salmonidae. The record is from RefSeq and is a predicted model, not a curated record.
UGGGCCCAGGGGGAAUGACCUGUACUGCAAACCUCCACCACUCAGUUUUCUGAAAGACUGACAGACAGAUUCCGAAAAUGGCGUCCUUCAGAAUUCUGUCAAAAUCAGAGCAAUUUCAUAGAAAUAUAUCUUCAGUGAGAAGACAAAAAGGAAUACUCUCUAUGCAGUAUGGCAAGUGUGUUCCUCACCCUCGGGUGUGUGGCUGUUAUUUCUCCACCUCCUGCCCCAGGGAUGCCCGUUUCUUUACCGACCCCACAGAGGCAGUGAAAGACAUCCCAGAUGGCUCCACUCUACUGGUGGGAGGGUUUGGUUUAUGUGGAAUACCCGAGAAUCUGAUUGGGAGUUUAUUGAAGACUGGAGUGAAAGGUAUCACAGCAGUCAGCAACAACGCUGGCGUGGAUCAUUUUGGUCUUGGUCUGCUGCUGAGGACCAAGCAGAUCAAGCGAAUGAUUUCCUCCUACGUUGGGGAGAAUGCAGAGUUUGAGAGGCAGUACCUUUCAGGGGAACUGGAGGUGGAGCUAACGCCUCAGGGUACCCUGGCAGAGAGGGUACGUGCCGGCGGUGCUGGGGUCCCUGCCUUCUUCACGCCCACUGGGUAUGGCACACUGAUCCAGGAGGGAGGCUCACCCAUCAAAUACAACACAGACGGCAGUGUGGCCAUCGCUAGCAAGAAGAGAGAGGUGAGGGAGUUCAAUGGCAUCCACUAUGUCAUGGAGAGAGCCAUCACAGGGGACUUUGCUCUGAUCAAGGCCUGGAAAGCUGAUCGAGCCGGUAACAUUGUGUUCAGAAAAACAGCACGGAACUUCAACCAGCCCAUGUGUAAAGCAGCUAAAGUCACUGUAGUGGAGGUAGAAGAGAUUGUAGAUGUGGGGACCUUUGCUCCUGAAGAUAUCCAUGUCCCCAGCAUCUAUGUUGACAGGAUUGUGAAGGGGGCAGUCUAUGAGAAGAGGAUAGAGAAGAGAACGGUCCAGAAAGGUUCUAUGGAGACACCCAAACCCAAGAGGAAGGCAGACCUGCUCCGAGAGAGGAUCAUCAGGAGGGCAGCACUGGAGUUCCAGGAUGGGAUGUAUGCAAACCUUGGUAUUGGGAUCCCCAUGCUGGCCAGCAACUUCAUCAGCUCUGACAUCACUGUGCACCUACAGAGUGAGAAUGGACUUCUGGGCCUGGGUCCUUAUCCCACCGAAAGUGAGGUAGACCCAGACCUUAUCAAUGCAGGUAAAGAGGUUGUAACUGUGGUUCCUGGAGCUGCGUUUUUCUCCAGUGAUGAAUCAUUUGCUAUGAUCAGGGGUGGCCACAUUGACCUGACCAUGUUGGGGGCCAUGCAGGUGUCUAAGUAUGGGGACCUGGCCAACUGGAUGAUCCCGGGAAAGAUGGUGAAAGGAAUGGGAGGGGCUAUGGACCUAGUGGCAAGUGCAGGAACCAAAGUGGUGGUGACCAUGGAGCAUUCUGCUAAGGGGGACAAACACAAAAUCCUGGAGAGUUGUACUCUCCCACUGACAGGGAAGCAGUGUGUGGAUAGGAUCAUCACUGAAAAGGCAGUUUUUGAUGUUGACGAGGCCAGCGGCCUCACUCUCAUAGAGAUCUGGGAGGGGCUGACUACUGAUGACAUCAGAGCGUGCACUGGCACAGACUUUGCUGUGUCCCCAAAUCUAAGACCAAUGCAGCAGAUCUGAACCCAGUGACUCCAAACCUUUCUGCAGUGCACAGAAGCCUUCUUUUAACAUUCCACAUGACCAUAGUGCUACAAAUUCAUGUACACAACGCAACACUGGGAGAGAGUUAUAAAUAGACCUGCGGACUUGAAGCAACUCCAGAUGUCGUGGGGGUCGGUUCCGGUACCUGUUGGACUGGGAGGGGUAUGGUCUGGUGUUGGGUUCCAGUGGACGACAUUCUUGAGCCCAACAUCAUCCGAGAUUUCCAUCUGGACCGGCACGUUUCUCAUCCGUCGUCGUUCUGCUGCUGGAGCCGGGGGUACUGUCACGUCCACUCCCGAUCCCCCUCUUUGGCACUCGACAUCGCCGGUUUACUAACCGCCGGUCCUGCCAACCCAUCCUUAUGCACAUCUGCACCUUAUUAGGCACACCUGGACUUCAUCUCCAUGAUUACUUCCUCUUUAUAUAGCACUCUAUUGUUAUCUCCCGCCAGGCAAAUAUUGUUUGCUUCCGUGCUUAGACGCUAUUCUAGUUUUGUAUAGUUCAAUGUUCUUAGUCAUUAAACUCUAACUGCACUUGC